Molecule: ribosomal RNA, 688 nt
Filed under: uncultured cyanobacterium
Lineage: Bacteria; Bacillati; Cyanobacteriota
Description: bacterial SSU rRNA
Rfam family: Bacterial small subunit ribosomal RNA
Source: RNAcentral
ACCCUUCGGGGUUCUAGUGGCGGACGGGUGAGUAACGCGUGAGAAUCUAGCUUCUGGUCGGGGACAACCACUGGAAACGGUGGCUAAUACCGGAUGAGCCUGCGGGUAAAAGAUUAAUUGCCAGAAGAAGAGCUCGCGUCUGAUUAGCUAGUUGGUGAGGUAAAAGCUCAUCAAGGCAGCGAUCAGUAGCUGGUCUGAGAGGAUGACCAGCCACACUGGGACUGAGACACGGCCCAGACUCCUACGGGAGGCAGCAGUGGGGAAUUUUCCGCAAUGGGCGAAAGCCUGACGGAGCAAGACCGCGUGAGGGAAGAAGGCUCUUGGGUCGUAAACCUCUUUUAUCAGGGAAGAACACAAUGACGGUACCUGAAGAAUCAGCCUCGGCUAACUCCGUGCCAGCAGCCGCGGUAAUACGGAGGAGGCAAGCGUUAUCCGGAAUUAUUGGGCGUAAAGCGUCCGCAGGUGGCUUAUCAAGUCUGCUGUCAAAGAGUGGGGCUUAACCCCAUUAAGGCAGUGGAAACUGAGAAGCUAGAGUGCCGUAGGGGUAGAGGGAAUUCCCGGUGUAGCGGUGAAAUGCGUAGAGAUCGGGAAGAACACCGGUGGCGAAAGCGCUCUGCUGGGUCAUAUCUGACACUGAGGGACGAAAGCUAGGGGAGCGAAAGGGAUUAGAUACCCCUGUAGUCCUAGC